Pelobates cultripes (western spadefoot toad) is the source of this 201-nucleotide non-coding RNA. The record is from the annotation of a GenBank genome assembly. NCBI's taxonomy places the organism in Eukaryota, Metazoa, Chordata, Amphibia, Anura, Pelobatidae.
AUUUUUAAAGAGGGCAAAUUGAUUUAGAACACUAUGCCCCGCCCCUGACGUAAACGUCACAACGGUAAUGUGAUGAGGACGUCGUGACGUCAUACGUGGGGGACGUUACAUUUGAGAAUGGCGCCGGAAGUAUAGGAGGAUGCGGCCAGACGCCAAAUAAUUGCGUGGAUGCGGCCGAACACCGGAAACCGGAAGAGGAAG